UAACUCUUUUGUAAAUUAAAAAAAAAGAGUUAAAUAAUCAGUUUUACUUUAAUAAUAUAAAAGUUUUAUUUUGGCUUAUUAAUUUAUUAUAAAAUUGUUAUACAUGUAUUUAAAUUUUUUUUAUUUGUGAGACAGUAUUUUAUAUUAUACAACCUAUGUGGGUAUAGAAUUUUUUUUUAAAGGAAAUUGAAUAAAUGUGUGCCAGCAUUCGCGGUUACACCCAUAAAUUUUAUUAAAUUUGUUUGGUGAAAAUUAAGUUUUAGGUUUUAGAUUAAAAAUAUUAUAGCCCAGGUAAAAUUGUGUAUAAUUUAUAAAGAUUGUUAAAAAACUUUAAAUGAAAUUAGUCAAAUAACCUGGAUUAGAUACCCAGUUAUUCUAAUAAAAAUUAUUUACCUAAGUAGUAAAUUUUUUUAAACUUAAAGAAUUUGGCGGUAUUUUUUACUUAUUAGAGGAACCUGUUGAGUAAUUGAUAGCCCACGAUAGACUUUACUAAUCUAAAUAUUUAUAUAUCAUUGUUAAAAGAGAGAACUAAAAAAGUUUUUUCUUAGAUUUAUAGAAUAUUCUGACAAAUCAAGGUGUAAUGAAUGGGUUUGUUUAAAUGGGUUACAUAAAUUUAAAAUUAUGGGGUAUAAAUUGAAAUUUUUAAUUAAAUAGGAUUUAUAAGUAAAAUUUAAAAAUUAUAGAGUUUGAUUAUGUACUAAAAUAUGCACACAUCGCCCGUCGCUCUCUUUUAUAGAGAUAAGUCGUAACAAAGUAGGACUACUGGAAGGAGGUUCUUGUUAG
Molecule: non-coding RNA, 783 nt
Filed under: Brachystomella parvula
Lineage: Eukaryota; Metazoa; Arthropoda; Collembola; Poduromorpha; Brachystomellidae
Source: RNAcentral